ACCAUCCUACGGGGGGCAGCAGUGGGGAAUAUUGGGCAAUGGGCGCAAGCCUGACCCAGCAACGCCGCGUGAAGGAAGAAGGCUUUCGGGUUGUAAACUUCUUUUAUGAGGGACGAAACAAAUGACGGUACCUCAUGAAUAAGCCACGGCUAACUACGUGCCAGCAGCCGCGGUAAUACGUAGGUGGCAAGCGUUAUCCGGAUUUACUGGGUGUAAAGGGCGUGUAGGCGGGACUGCAAGGCAGAUGUGAAAAUUAAGGGCUCAACCCAUAACCUGCAUUUGAAACUGUAGUGCUUGAGUGGUGG
RNAcentral lists this ribosomal RNA (305 nucleotides) under uncultured bacterium. Its description in RNAcentral is "bacterial SSU rRNA". It matches the Rfam family "Bacterial small subunit ribosomal RNA", at positions 333 to 652 of the family's 1533-position model. The record is from RNAcentral.